UCCUCUAUAUUUGUUGUGGGUGAGAAGUUAAUCAUCAUCUCAUUUUGUACAGGUCGAAAUUUUGCUGCUGCUGGAAUGACUCUCACGUUUUUAAUGAGGUACACAUUGCCUUCUUGAAUAAAUGACCUUAACUUUUCGAUAUAUGCCUUAUUGAUAACUCCAUGCAACAUUGUCCCCUUCAAUUGUAUUUGUAAUUAGCAUGUAGAUUGAAGCUAAAUCUUAUUAUCAAAAUAAUUCAAGCAAGGAUGUAAUUUCUAUGAGAGAACCAUUAUACCUCUUCAUCAAUAAGCACCAUGUCUAGACUAAGUAUUUCACCAUUACUGAUCAAUAUGGAAUCCCAUAGUCUCGACACUCUUGCCUUGAUUGUUAAUUCCUUUCCUCUACUGGAAGUAUUGAUCUGACAAAAGGUUUUGUAUGCCAUGAAAGACUUCGUCAUUGAAUUGCAACAUCGAAGAGAUAGUUAGGAUUACCUAUGAGGAUGCUUAUGUGAUCGAUACUUGUACAUGUGAGUUAUUUGUCCAAACCUGGGUGAUUAGAGCAGAUCAGAAAGGACGGCGGCCUGUUCGUGUUCGUGACGGAAGCGAGGGAAGGUGCUCUCCGUUGUUGGCGAUGAGAGAUGUUGUAGAAGCUGUUCUCCGCAGCGUGAAGCCGGAGACGCGUGCGAGAAGAAUUACGAUCUAUGGGAUGGCCUCACGUCAAGCAUAUAACCUGGAGAACGAAAAACACCUGAUGUGUACGUGAUGUAUAUAUUCACAAAUAUAUAUAUAUANNN
This 772-nucleotide long non-coding RNA is filed under the name Triticum aestivum (bread wheat). Its description in RNAcentral is "long non-coding RNA (TAES_LNC019115)". The record is from RNAcentral. Lineage: Eukaryota; Viridiplantae; Streptophyta; Magnoliopsida; Poales; Poaceae.